CGUCUAUAUACGUAUAGCAUAUCAAUAAGCGGAGGAAAAGAAACUAACAAGGAUUCCCUUAGUAACGGCGAGUGAAGCGGGAAGAGCUCAAAUUUGAAAUCUUCAAGGUUCUACCUUGACGAAUUGUAGUUUAAAGAAGUGUUUUCUGUUAGAGGAGUAGCAAAAGUUCCUUGGAAUGGGACAUCAUAGAGGGUGAGAAUCCCGUAUUUGGUUAUUCUUUCUAGCUUUGUGAUACACUUUCAAAGAGUCGGAUUGUUUGGGUAUGCAGUCCAAAAUGGGUGGUAAAUUUCAUCUAAAGCUAAAUAUUGGCGAGAGACCGAUAGCGAACAAGUACCGUGAGGGAAAGAUGAAAAGAACUUUGAAAAGAGAGUUAAACAGUACGUGAAAUUGUCAAAAGGGAAGCGUUUGACACCAGUGUUGUUUUUCCGAGAAUCAAUUAAGAGUGGCUUGAUUUUGUGUUGUAUUGACCUUAUCAGCUUUCUUCACUCUUUUUCGAGUCUUUCUUAAUGCACUUUUCGGUUAACAAGUCAACAUCAAUUUCUUUUGUUGUAAAAGGGUAUUUGGAAGGUGGCUUUCUUUUCGGAGAAAGUGUUUAUAGCCUUAUACCUCUACAAUCGGAGAGAUUGAGGUCUGCAGCGUAGAUCCUUCGGGGCUAGAUACACUUGUGCUAAGUUAUAGCUUUUCAUAGACAACUUGUUGACUAUGUUUAGUCAUGUAGCUUACCCGCUUGUGCUAUUUUACCUACGCUUAGGAUGUUGAGUCAUCACACAUCUCU
This 775-nucleotide ribosomal RNA is filed under the name uncultured Neocallimastigales. RNAcentral describes it as "partial large subunit ribosomal RNA". It matches the Rfam family "Eukaryotic large subunit ribosomal RNA", at positions 26 to 618 of the family's 3401-position model. Lineage: Eukaryota; Fungi; Neocallimastigomycota; Neocallimastigomycetes; Neocallimastigales. The record is from RNAcentral.